RNAcentral lists this ribosomal RNA (446 nucleotides) under uncultured bacterium. RNAcentral's name for it is "bacterial SSU rRNA". It matches the Rfam family "Bacterial small subunit ribosomal RNA", at positions 329 to 792 of the family's 1533-position model. The record is from RNAcentral.
CACCAGACUCCUACGGGAGGCAGCAGUGGGGAAUAUUGCACAAUGGGGGAAACCCUGAUGCAGCGACGCCGCGUGAGUGAAGAAGUAUUUCGGUAUGUAAAGCUCUAUCAGCAGGGAAGAAAAUGACGGUACCUGACUAAGAAGCCCCGGCUAACUACGUGCCAGCAGCCGCGGUAAUACGUAGGGGGCAAGCGUUAUCCGGAUUUACUGGGUGUAAAGGGAGCGUAGACGGCUGCGCAAGUCAGAAGUGAAAGUCCGGGGCUCAACCGCGGGACUGCUUUUGAAACUGUGUAGCUAGAGUGCAGGAGAGGUAAGUGGAAUUCCUAGUGUAGCGGUGAAAUGCGUAGAUAUUAGGAGGAACACCGGUGGCGAAGGCGGCUUACUGGACUGUAACUGACGUUGAGGCUCGAAAGCGUGGGGAGCAAACAGGAUUAGAUACCCGAGUA